CGAGGGCUGUCGCAAGAGGUCGGAGGCAAAACUGAGUGUGAGGGGGUUACGAGUGCUGGUCCUGCGUCGCAUCAGGUCCGAGUCUGAGGUGGAGCUCAGAGUACCGGUCUUCAGGAACAACAUCAAUCAGACAGGGCCUGCAGGUCCCUGCAGGGGGGAGAGUCAUAACAUUAUAAAGCUGCUAAUGGCCAUCCGAACCUGGGCUCAAAGGACGGACAGUACUGGCUCUGGAGCAGCAUGUGUACACGCUGUGUCUGUGUGGAGUCCGGAGUCGCUAGGGCAAUGGACCUGCCUGUUCUGCUCGGAGAAAAUGGGGGAGGAGACGGGCCGAGAACAGAGAGGAGAAAAAAAGAUAGCAGUGGCAGUUGUACAGAUAACUCAUCCAAAGGGCUUUGACUUCUCAAACUUGGCAGAAAGCUAACAUAAUAUGAUGCCCCGUCACCUUAUUAAUUCAGCACUUACUUAGAUACUGUGCAUUCGGAAAGUAUUCAGACCCCUUCACUUUUUCCACAUUUUGUUACGUUAGAGCCUUAUUUGUCCUCAUCAAUCUACGCAUAAUACCCCAGAAUGACAGAACAAAAACUUGUAGCAAAUUUAUUAAAAAUAAAAACUGAAAUAUCCCAUUUACUGUACAUAAGUAUUCAGACCCUUUACUCAGUACUUUGUUGAAGCACCUUUGGCAUUGUUGACCUUCAAUAUAAAACACAACCCCGUCAAUACACAGAUGGACUCACCUGUUCCUGCUUACUCCCAUUGUGCUAUAACACGAACAAACAUGUGACUGGCUCAACUGUUCUGGGGAACUACGGUAAGUCUCAUAAUGUAAAAUAAUGUGACAGGUGAAAAGAAGAACACAAUCUGCUUUAUCUCCUAAUGCUCUCCUAACAUAUUGCACAGGUUGACUGCAGGUAUUUACCUAAAUACACACAAAUAUUACAAUUUAUUGAAAGACUUCAAAGAAAUAGUUUCAAAGGUAUUGACGGUAUUGAAAACCCAUCCUGUGGCUAUUUCCAAAUACCCUGGUAUACGGGGUCCACUGCCCAAGCCUAAUUGAUUCCCAUUCAAAAUCCUAUUUUCCCUAACCCCUAAACCUAACCCUUAACCAAACCCUAACCCUAACCCUAACUCCAACUCUUAACCCCUAAUCCUAAUUGUAACCCUAACCCCUAAACCUAACCCCUAAGCCUAAAACAGCCAUUUUCAUUUUGGGGACCGGCAAAUUGUUCCCGGAGUAAUGUUCCCAGGAAAUGUCCUUGUUUUACACUCACAUACACACAUUAACAAACAAACACAUGCAUUCAGUGACUGAUCAAUUAAGAUCAAUCAAGUACAACAAUAUAAUGCAUUUUUAUUGUGUAUGAUGAAUUGUACCCAUUUACAAUUCAUUCGUGCUUGUGUGGGCACCUGCGUUCAUGACUGAAUGCAUUACUGGGAUACAAAAUAAAUAGAUGUUCAGUGGAUUUGAGCUGGCACACUGACAAUAUUUCCAUGACAACAAGCUCUCCGACACGGCACUUCUCAUGCCCAAAUGACUAACGUAACGGUAUUGUGUCUACAGCCUCACUAGCCAGGUCUGUUUGCUUGUCCCUCUGUCCUUUGCAGGGGUCGCAAAACAAACUGGAAAAUAAUGAAAUUUUUAAGGAACAGAAUCAGAACCAGACCAGGGAACGAAAGUGAUCUAUAUUGUUCUGGAACAUAACCAUUUUUGAAAUAAAAAAAUGCAACAAAGCGCCUAUGCAAAGCUCUCCCUCUGUCAAUCAUUAACUUCUUCCAAAGUCUGCCAGGUGAAAAUCUUUGCCAGAGUGUGUGCGUGUAGUCUAUCUGCCCCUCAGAAGUAUAGCUGUAGCCUGCGGACAUUACAAACAUAAUCCACAAGAUAGGGAGAGAGAUUUUUUAUUACAGCAGGAUGGAUGAACUUUUUCAACGCUAGUUAGGGAUCCUAUAGUUCACAUUGGAUUUAUUAACUAUAAAAAGGUAAGAUGUGUUGUUAAUUCAGGUGCCGCUGUGCACACGAAAGCUUGUUAGCUAGCCAGCUACUCUGCGCCAACGUUAAGCCAACUCUGAAGUUCAAAGACAUUCAAAAUUCUACCCUAGAAGCCGCUCCUCCGUAGGUAUAAAUCUGUGGGCCUCCUCCUCAACCCUCUCUCGCUGUCUCCCCACUCGCAAAAUUUCAGUUGCAUCUCACGCCCUACACUUGUCUUUCCAUAACGCAUGUGAACAACUCACUGAGCUAUAGCGUGCCAGCUCUAUAGCAAGCUUGUAAGGGGUGCAUAACCGGUGGCAGGGAAGUCAGACGCAGGAGAGCAGAACUUGGUAAUAGCCGGGUAAUCGCAAAACCAACGGCAUAAAAAAUAGCAAGAUAUUGGGUACAAAAACCCGUCAUGCACCAAUCAUCACAUGCACAAGCACCACAAUAAACAAUCCCACACAAAGACAUGGGGGGAACAGAGGGUUAAAUACACAACAAGUGAUUGAGGGAGUUGAAACCAGGUGUGAGGAAAAACAAGACAAAACACAUGGAAAAUGAAAAGUGGAUCGAUGAUGGCUAGAAGACCUGGCGACGCCAACCGCCGAGCACCACCCGAACAAGGAGAGGACCCAACUUCGGCGGAAGUCGUGACAAAGCAUCUCUAUCCAUACUGCAUGAUUGGAAAAGUAAUUUAAUGUCGAGCUAAAUGGAAAAUAAAUAAAGGUUUAAAAAGGAACAGAAAGUAAUGAUAUAAACGGGUACUUUGGGGAGGUUGAACCAGUUCAGAACUGUAGUUUGCUGGUCGGAACAGUGUAACGAAAAAUAUUAUAGGUUCUGUUCAGAACAAAACAAUUGGAAAAUAAUUUUAGUUCCAACCCCAGGCCCUGUGUACAUGUACAAGAGACAAAACACAGGAGCAUACAAGUAUUUUAAUUUUUUAAAUAAAACAAAAUCACAAAAGUAGUGCACUGGGCCUUUACUUGUCCUGUAUUAGCGGACCUAUAUAGGCUUCCGUAGAGCGUGCAAAAAAUACAUAAUCUGCACCCCCCCUAUCCUCCUGCAGCACCCCCACCCCCAAACUACUUAGUGCAGCUAUGCACAGGAUGGGAAUGGGGCGUGGGGAUGUCACGCCCUGAUCUGUUUCACCUGUCUUUGUGAUUGUCUCCACCCACCUCCAGGUGUCACCCGUCUUCCCAAUUAUUCCCAUGGUAUUUAUUCCUGUGUUCUCUGUUUGUCUGUGCCAGUUUGUCUUGUCAAGUCAACGAGCGUGUUUUUCUGUGCUCCUGCUUUUUCUUGUCUCUGUUUUUCUAGUCCUCCUGGUUUUGACCUUUUGUCUGCCCUGACACUGAGUCCACCUGCCUGACCAUUCAGCCUGCCCUGACCUUGAGCCUGCCUGACUCCCUGUACCGUUUGGAACUCUGAUCUGGUUCUGAACUUUUACCUGUCCUCGACCUGCCCUCUUGCCUGCCCUUUGUUGUUUAAUAAAUAUCAGAGACUCGAACCAUCUGCCUCCUGUGUCUGCAUCUAGGUCUUGCCCUGUGUUGUUAUAGGGGAUGAAUAAACAUGUUGCAGGUGAGGUAAGCAGGCCCAGACAGCUCCACCAUGUCCACUCCCCAGACAGAUAAAUUAGUAGAAGAGAGUUCACUGUGUCUGCAUCUGGGUCUUGCCCUGUGUUGUUAUAGGGGAUGAAUAAACAUGUUGCAGGUGAGGUAAGCAGGCCCAGACAGCUCCACCAUGUCCACUCCCCAGACAGAUAAAUUAGUAGAAGAGAGUUCACUGAGUCUGCAGCAGCUGGCUCCACAUACUGUAACACUGCAUCAUACAGUAGCAUCAUAUAAAAGUGAGAGGGAGACAGCCAUGACACUUGGAGGGACCAAAAUAUUCUGUAUGUGACUUUUACAGCACUCCCCACUAUAAAGAAGGGGAGUAAUGUUGUCACUUUGACUCUCUUGCUCUUUCCAUCUCUUUCUCUCAGUCUAACCCUCCACCAUUU
Molecule: long non-coding RNA, 3962 nt
Organism: Oncorhynchus keta (chum salmon)
Lineage: Eukaryota; Metazoa; Chordata; Actinopteri; Salmoniformes; Salmonidae
Exons: 3
Source: RefSeq, a predicted model, not a curated record